UGGUGUAGCGGUUACCACUCUGGACUUCGAAUCCAGUGAUCCGAGUUCGAGUCUCGG
RNAcentral lists this transfer RNA (57 nucleotides) under Schistosoma mattheei. It matches the Rfam family "tRNA", at positions 8 to 63 of the family's 71-position model. From Rfam's summary of the family: Transfer RNA (tRNA) molecules are approximately 80 nucleotides in length. Their secondary structure includes four short double-helical elements and three loops (D, anti-codon, and T loops). The record is from Rfam by way of RNAcentral. Lineage: Eukaryota; Metazoa; Platyhelminthes; Trematoda; Strigeidida; Schistosomatidae.